GAACUUAUGUUUUAACCGUGCUGCGUUAUUUAUGUCAACGUUGACAUACAUUAGUUUGUAUGUCUUGACAUAUAUUAGUUUAACAAAACUAACAAAAUCUUAAAAUAAAGGUGUUUCUUGUCCGUUGGUUCAUCUUAACAAAAAUGUAACGGAUAGCCGCAGCUUUUUUUU
RNAcentral lists this non-coding RNA (171 nucleotides) under Platyscelio sp. ZL-2020. Lineage: Eukaryota; Metazoa; Arthropoda; Insecta; Hymenoptera; Scelionidae. The record is from RNAcentral.